GAAUGUGAAAAUUGGGAGGCAUCUCUCUUGAUUUUCAAAGUUGGGGACCGUAAGGCCCUGACGCUUCAUGAUGAGCCCGCGGCCUAUCAGCUAGUUGGUGAGGUAACGGCUCACCAAGGCUAAGACGGGUAGCUGGUCUGAGAGGACGACCAGCCACACUGGAACUGAGACACGGUCCAGACACCUACGGGUGGCAGCAGUCGAGAAUUUUUCACAAUGGGGGAAACCCUGAUGGAGCGACGCCGCGUGGGGGAUGAAUGGCUUCGGCCCGUAAACCCCUGUCAUUCGCGAACAAUGCCUGUGAUCUAAUAAAUCACAGGUUGAUAGUAGCGGAAGAGGAAGGGACGGCUAACUCUGUGCCAGCAGCCGCGGUAAUACAGAGGUCCCGAGCGUUGUUCGGAUUCACUGGGCGUAAAGGGUGCGUAGGCGGUCGGGUAAGUCUGAUGUGAAAUCUCACAGCUUAACUGUGAAACUGCAUUGGAUACUAUUCGGCUUGAGGUCUGGAGGGGGGACUGGAAUUCUCGGUGUAGCAGUGAAAUGCGUAGAUAUCGAGAGGAACACCAGUGGCGAAGGCGAGUCCCUGGACAGGUCCUGACGCUGAGGCACGAAAGCUAGGGGAGCAAACAGGAUUAGAUACCCUGGUAGUCCUAGCCGUAAACGGUGCUUAUUUGCUGUAAAAGGAAUCGACCCCUUUUGUGGCGUGGCAAACGAGUUAAAUAAGCCGCCUGGGAAGUACGGUCGCAAGAUUAAAA
Molecule: ribosomal RNA, 752 nt
Filed under: uncultured bacterium
Lineage: Bacteria
Description: bacterial SSU rRNA
Rfam family: Bacterial small subunit ribosomal RNA
Source: RNAcentral